GGAGGGAUGGCAGAGUGGUUGAUUGCGGUGCUCUUGAAAAGCAUUGUGGCGCAAGUCACCGGGGGUUCGAAUCCCUCUCCCUCCG
Molecule: transfer RNA, 85 nt
Filed under: Anaerolinea sp.
Lineage: Bacteria; Bacillati; Chloroflexota; Anaerolineae; Anaerolineales; Anaerolineaceae
Also listed under: 1 other name
Description: tRNA-Ser
Rfam family: tRNA
About the family: Transfer RNA (tRNA) molecules are approximately 80 nucleotides in length. Their secondary structure includes four short double-helical elements and three loops (D, anti-codon, and T loops). Further hydrogen bonds mediate the characteristic L-shaped molecular structure. tRNAs have two regions of fundamental functional importance: the anti-codon, which is responsible for specific mRNA codon recognition, and the 3' end, to which the tRNAs corresponding amino acid is attached (by aminoacyl-tRNA synthetases). tRNAs cope with the degeneracy of the genetic code in two manners: having more than one tRNA (with a specific anti-codon) for a particular amino acid; and 'wobble' base-pairing, i.e. permitting non-standard base-pairing at the 3rd anti-codon position.
Source: RNAcentral